CUUGUGUGCCCUUUUCUGGUUGACCCUGUAGGGUUUAAGGCACACUGCAGCUGGCCCUGCCGCGUGCGGGGCCUGUUGCAGCAGGCUGUGCGAUUUAGGGGCCCGCGUGGAGUUUAAGGUCCCUUGCAGCUGGGCCUGUGAGGUUUGAUGGCCCAUUGCUGCUCCGCCCGUGUGCUUUAGGGAGCACUAUGGAAUUUAAGACCGCUUGCAUCUGGAUCUGUGGGGUUUAGAUUACACUGUGGGGCUAAGGGUCCCAUGUAGCUAUCUCUGUCUGAUUUAGGGAGCCCUGUGGGAUUUAGGGCCCCAAACAGGUGGCAUUGUGGGGUUUAGGGAGCCUCGUGGGAUUUAGAGGUCUCAUGUAGUUGGCGCUGUGGGGUUUGGUUCAGCUGGCCCCAUGGGACUGGCAGGCCCUGUGGGUUUAGGGCCCCUUGCACCAGCCCCUGAGGAUUUUGAAGUCUUGAGGGGACAGGCACUAUGUGGGUUUGGUGUGCAGCUGGUGACAGAGGGUCAGUGCAAGGAGCAUGUGUUGAGUCCUGCUCCUCUCCAGCAGCAGAAGUUCCUCACUUGGGUUGGGACCAGGCCUGGAUGGGGGUCAGGGGCCCUUCCUCACUCUACCCUGCUGAGCUACUGCGUCUCACCUGUGCUGUCUGAGUCACAUAUUCCUCGAGAAGAGGGUAACCACAGGAGACAAAAAAAAAAGGUAGGAGUGAGGGGAAGAAAACAACAAAAGAAUUUUGCAAAUCCUUCUGAUCUGGAGCAGCAGGCAUAAAGCAACAAGGAAAAUACUGAUUGAUUAAGGAUGCUGUAUAUAAGAAAUCCAAGAGGACUGGGUGAUGGGGCGUGUCUGGAUGCUGUUAGUUCAUCUGCAUGUAAACAAGAGAACUUCAGUUUAUUCACCCACUACGUACUGCAACCAAAUUACCCAUCAGCAGCUUUCAAGAUGACAGGAAUUUUGACAGCUUGCAAAGUGGUGAAGACUUUGAAAGGCAAAUUGAAGUUUUGCAAUGUGUCUGCUGAUCACUGGAGUUUCUCAAGGACAGGUCCCAGGCUGUUGAGCAUCAAGGCGCAGACAGCGAACUUGGUGCUGGAAGAUGGGACGAAGAUGAAGGGCUAUUCUUUUGGCUAUCCAUCCUCCACAGCAGGGGAAGUCGUAUUCAACACUGGGCUCUCUGGAUACACCGAAGCCUUGACAGAUCCCAGCUACAAAGGACAGAUUCUUACCCUGGCUAACCCCAUAGUUGGGAAUGUUGGAGUGCCUGACACAGCCACUUUGGAUGAAAUGGGCCUCAAGAGGUUCCUGGAGUCUGAUGGGAUCAAGGUUUCAGGUUUGCUGGUGCUGGACUACAGCAAAGAGUACAGCCACUGGCAGGCUGCUAGGAGCCUGGGGGAAUGGUUGCAAGAGGAACAGGUGCCUGCACUGUAUGGGAUUGAUACUAGAAUGCUGUCCAAAUUAAUUCGUGACAAGGGCACAGUACUUGGGAAGAUUGAAUUUGAAGGUCAACCUGUGGAGUUUGCAGACCCAAAUAAACAAAACUUAAUUGCAGAAGUUUCUACAAAGGAAGUCAAAGUUUAUGGCAGAGGGAAUCCAAUUAAAGUUGUAGCUGUUGACUGUGGGUUGAAGCACAACAUUAUCCGUCUGCUAGUUAAGCGAGGUGCAGAAGUACAUUUAGUUCCAUGGGAUCAUGAUUUCACCAGCAUGGAUUACGAUGGGCUCAUAAUUUCUGGAGGACCAGGGGAUCCCAUGAUGGCCCAGGAGGUGAUUCAGAAUGUCAGAAAGGUUCUGGAGAGCGAUCGCCCAGAGCCCCUGUUUGGAAUUAGCAUGGGGCAUCUAAUCACUGGAAUAGCAGCUGGAGCUACUUCCUACAAGAUGCAGAUGGCCAACAGAGGCCAGAACCAGCCUGUCCUGAAUGCAGUGAAUGGACAGGCUGUCAUCACUGCUCAGAACCACGGCUAUGCCAUUGACAGCUCUACCCUCUCAUCUGGCUGGAAGCCUCUCUUUGUGAACGCCAACGACCAAACGACUGAGGGAAUUAUGCAUGAGACCAGACCAAUUUUCACAGCACAGUUCUAUCCAGAUGCAAAUCCUGGGCCCAGAGACACAGAGUUCCUUUUUGAUUCUUUCAUUUCCCUGGUUAAGAGUGGGAAAGGCAGUACCAUUUCCUCAGUUCUGCCCAAGGCUGGAGUGACUGCUUCCAGAGUAGAGGUCUCCAAAGUUCUCAUUCUAGGAUCCGGGGGUCUGUCGAUUGGUCAGGCAGGGGAAUUCGAUUACUCUGGAUCCCAGGCUGUAAAAGCCAUGAAGGAAGAAAAUGUGAAAAUUGUCCUCAUGAAUCCCAAUAUUGCUUCAGUGCAGACCAAUGAGACUGGCUUAAAGCAGGCUGAUGCUGUCUACUUCCUCCCCAUCACUCCACAGUUUGUCACAGAGGUCAUCAAGGCUGAGCGUCCCGAUGGAAUAAUUCUGGGCAUGGGUGGCCAGACUGCUCUCAACUGUGGAGUGGAACUCUUCAGGCAAGGAGUCCUGCAGCAGUAUGGUGUGAAGGUUCUAGGUACAUCAGUUGAAUCCAUCAUGGCUACAGAGGAUAGAAAGCUCUUUUCUGAUAAAAUGACUGAGCUAAAUGAAAAGAUUGCUCCUAGCUUUGCAGUGGAAUCGGUUGAAGAGGCUCUGAAGGCAGCUGAAAACAUUUGCUUCCCAGUCAUGAUACGUUCUGCCUAUGCCCUUGGUGGUCUGGGGUCAGGCAUAUGUCCUGAUAAGGAAAGUUUGCUGGACCUUGGUACAAAGGCAUUUGCAAUGACUAACCAAAUUCUGGUGGAAAAGUCAGUCGUUGGCUGGAAGGAGAUAGAAUAUGAAAUUGUGAGAGAUGCUGCUGAUAACUGUAUUGCUGUCUGCAAUAUGGAAAACAUUGAUGCUAUGGGAGUCCACACAGGAGAUUCUGUUGUGGUGGCUCCAAGCCAGACACUCACUAAUGAGGAGUUUCAGAUGCUGAGGGAUUGUGCCAUCAAAGUUGUCCAACAUUUGGGUAUUGUGGGAGAGUGUAAUAUCCAGUUUGCUCUGCAUCCAACUUCCCUGGAGUACUACAUUAUUGAAGUUAAUGCCAGACUCUCGAGAAGUUCAGCUUUGGCCUCCAAGGCGACAGGGUAUCCAUUAGCCUUCAUUGCUGCCAAAAUUGCCCUGGGGAUUCCCUUGCCAGAAAUCAAGAACGUUGUGACAGGAAAAACCUCUGCCUGCUUUGAGCCCAGCCUCGAUUACAUUGUUACCAAAAUACCCCGCUGGGAUUUGGACCGUUUUCAGCAUACAUCCAGCCGGAUUGGAAGCUCCAUGAAGAGUGUGGGGGAGGUCAUGGCUGUUGGACGCACUUUUGAAGAGAGCUUUCAGAAGGCCCUGAGGAUGUGCCACCCCUCAGUAGAUGGCUUCACUUCACGUCUGCCUGUGAAUAAAGCCUGGCCAGCCAUCGUAGAUCUCCAGAAGGAGCUUUCUGAGCCAUCCAGCAUUCGAAUAUAUGCAAUAGCCAAGGCCUUGGAUAACAAAGUCCCUGUGGAUGUCAUUCACAAACUCACGGCCAUUGACAAGUGGUUCCUGUAUAAGAUGCACAGCAUUGUGAACAUGGAGAAGAUCCUGAAGGAAGUGAACAGUGAAACAGUUCCGGAAGAGACACUGAGAAGAGCCAAACAGAUGGGGUUCUCCGACAAACAGAUUGGGAAAUGCCUGAGGUUGACUGAAGCCCAGUGCCGUCAGCUGAGGCUGAGGAAGAACAUAGUGCCCUGGGUGAAACAGAUUGACACACUGGCAGCAGAAUACCCAGCAGUGACUAAUUACCUCUACAUCACGUACAAUGGGCAGGAACAUGAUGUAAAAUUUGAUGACUGUGGAGUGAUGGUGUUGGGCUGUGGACCAUAUCACAUAGGCAGCAGCGUGGAGUUUGAUUGGUGUGCUGUUUCCAGUAUCCGCACGCUGCGUCAGCUUGGCAACAGGACCGUCGUGGUGAAUUGCAACCCGGAGACAGUAAGCACGGAUUUUGAUGAGUGUGACAGACUGUACUUUGAGGAGCUGUCAUUGGAAAGGAUCUUGGACAUCUACCAGUAUGAGGGAUGCAGUGGCUGCAUUAUUUCUGUAGGAGGGCAGAUUCCCAAUAACUUGGCAGUGCCACUUCAUCAGAGUGGAGUGAAGAUCCUUGGUACAAAUCCUCUGCAGAUUGACCAGGCAGAAGAUCGCUCCCUAUUCUCAGCUGUUCUGGAUGAGCUGCAUGUGGCCCAGGCUCCCUGGAAGGCUGUGAACACACUGAGAGACGCAGUUGAAUUUGCAAGCUCAGUGAGUUACCCGUGUUUGCUGAGGCCCUCCUAUGUUCUGAGUGGGUCCUCAAUGAAUGUGGUAUUCACUGAAGAGGAAAUGAAGAAUUUGUUAGCAGAAGCCACCAGAGUCUCUCAGGAUCACCCUGUGGUGCUCACUAAAUUUAUUGAAAAUGCCCGUGAGGUGGAAAUGGAUGCUGUAGCUAAGGCAGGAAGAGUUAUUUCACAUGCUAUUUCGGAGCAUGUGGAGGAUGCAGGUGUUCACUCUGGAGAUGCCACCCUCAUGUUACCCACACAGACCAUUAGCCAGGGAGCCUUGGAGAAGGUAAAAUCUGCUACAAAAAAAAUUGCAAAUGCCUUUGCCAUCUCUGGUCCGUUCAACAUCCAGUUCUUGGUGCGAGGCAACGAUGUGCUGGUGAUAGAGUGCAACUUGCGGGCUUCACGUUCCUUCCCCUUUGUAUCGAAGACUCUGGGUGUGGACUUCAUUGAUGUGGCCACUAAAGUGAUGAUUGGAAAAGAGGUUAAUGAGUCAUCCCUCCCCACAUUGGAACAUCCUAUUAUUCCAUCCAAAUAUGUUGGGAUUAAGGCCCCAGUGUUCUCAUGGUCCCGGCUGAGAGAUGCUGACCCUGUUCUCCGAUGUGAAAUGGCCUCUACUGGGGAGGUGGCAUGCUUUGGGGAGAACGUGUAUUCUGCUUUCCAGAAGGCUAUGCUUGCCACAGGGUUUACAUUUCCAAAGGAAGGAAUUUUGAUUGGAAUCCAGAAGUCCUUCCGCCCCAGGUUCCUCAGCAUAGCAGAACUACUGCAUGAGGAAGGCUUCAAGCUUUAUGCCACAGAAGGAACCUCAUACUGGCUCAAUGCUAAUGGUAUCCCAGCAAAUCCUGUGGCAUGGCCAUCUCAGGAAAGCCAGAGUCUGAGCCUCCCUCCAGUCAGGAGGCUGGUGAGGGAUGGGAAAAUAGAUCUGGUGAUUAACCUGCCCAACAGCAAGACCAAGUUUGUCCAUGAUAAUUAUGUGAUUCGGAGGAUGGCUAUUGACAGUGGGAUUGCUCUUCUCACUAACUUCCAGCUCAUUUGGAUAUCCAAACACCUGAUGCCUCAGCAGUAGUGCCUCUUGAGGAGUAUCUCCUGUGCAGUUUUCAAGUGGACAGCAAAACAUGGCUGUUAGAGCUUUGCACAGGUAUGUGAAUUGUGCCUCCAACAGUGCUUCACCUUCCCUGCAAACCUUGCUCGGUGCUAAGGACUGCUGGCAUUAUCCAAAGGAGUGAUGUGCUGUUCAGAGUCUGUACACCCAGCAUGCCACAGGGUGCCAGGAGAAACAAAACAUACUGGAAAAGGGGAGCAUGGAAAUUGAGGAAAAUCAGCAUGGUCUUGAAUAGACUAUUUUCUUUUGUUUGUGUUCAGGAUAACCCCUGUCCCUCAGUAAUAUGAGAAUCUCCCGCAACCCUGGAGGAGGUGCUCAUGUCUGGAGUUUCUGAUCCUGGGUGGUGGUGAGCAAGAGGAUUUAUAUCACAGCAUGGUGUGUUGAGCUACUCAGACAUGAAGAUGUGCCUUCCAUGCCCUCAAGCAGAGUUAGAUAAGUGGUUUGACCUCCAUUUGCUUCAACCUGCAAGAUUGUUCCUUGAUCCCUCACAUCGUGGAUGUGCAGAAAAGGCUGAAAGUCCACUUUCUGUGUGUGUGUUCACGGAAAAGAUGAAAGGAAAACAAGAAAAGCAAAAAGUGCUUUAUAAUUUGCAGUCCUGGGAGUUGCACAUUUCAGAUCUUCGUAUAUGUUCUUUUAGAAAAAUGUGCAAAUGUAUCUCUUCUUCAUUUGGCAGACAAAAAGGCUGCCUUGUACAAUACCUCUCAUGGAAGACUUCAGUUUGAAUGGGGCUAGUCUAACAGGGCAAAGAGCCAAACCAGGACAUCAUCAUACAGUGGGAAAAUUUUGAGUAACAGCAAUGGUCGUUGUUAAUCAAAGACUGUUAUCACUGGAAAAAUGGAGGUCAGUGAUUUAAGAGCAUCUUGCAGAAAAGAUUUGGAGGAUUUCAUGUUGCUUCUCUUUAACUUUUCCUUUCAGAGCAGGAGCCAAACCCAAGAGUUGUGAAUGUGCAGAAGUGGACACUGAUAACACCCAUCCCACGUGCACGGUGAAGGUUGUGCCAGCGACAACUACAAGAAGAGCUGUCUGCUUGGGUGGUUUCAGAGGCUAUCUACACCCAAAGAAAGGCAAGAUAAAUCUAAAGUUUCUGUUGUCAUUAGUGG
Molecule: RNA transcript, 6519 nt
Organism: Neopelma chrysocephalum (saffron-crested tyrant-manakin)
Lineage: Eukaryota; Metazoa; Chordata; Aves; Passeriformes; Pipridae
Gene: CPS1
Gene name: carbamoyl-phosphate synthase 1
Exons: 50
Source: RefSeq, a predicted model, not a curated record